AUGGAUGAGGAAUAUGAUGCUCUUAUGAAAAACAAGACAUGGUGUUUGGUUCCACCAGUCAAGGGGAGGAAUCUUAUUGACUGCAAGUGGGUCUAUAAGGUCAAACGAAAAUCUGAUGGCACUAUUGACAGGUAUAAGGCAUGUUUAGUUGCCAAAGGGUUUAAACAGAGGGACGGGCUUGAUUACGAGGACACAUUUAGUCCUGUAGUAAAAGCAGCUACUAUCAGAAUAAUUCUUUCAGUUGCAGUCUCUAGAAACUGGUGCAUUCGACAGCUAGAUGUAAAGAACACGUUCUUGCAUGGUGUUCUUGAAGAGGAAGUGUUCAUGAGGCAACCGCCUGGGUAUGAAAACUCCAGAUUUCCACGUCAUGUCUGUAAGCUUGAGAAGGCAUUGUAUGGGCUGAAACAGGCACCUAGGGCUUGGUACUCUCGGUUAUCUUCAAAGUUGCAAUCUCUGGGGUUCUCUCCAUCUAGCGGAUACACCUCAUUGUUCUUUUAUCACAAGCAUGGGAUAACCAUUUUUAUGCUCAUUUAUGUUGAUGAUAUUGUUGUCACAAGUUCCUCAUCUCAAGCAGUUGAAGCUCUCCUCAAGGACUUGAGAAAGGACUUUGCACUAAAGGACCUGGGCAACCUGCAUUUCUUUCUUGGAAUUGAGGUAAAACAUGUACCAAGUGGAAUUGUGUUGUCACAGGAGAAAUAUGUACAAGAAAUAUUUCAGCGGAUGGGCAUGAAGACAUGUAAGCCAUCACCUACACCUUUGUCUGUCUCUAAAAAAUUGUCCCUUCAUGAUGGAGAGGCACUUGGGGCAGAAGAUGUCACCAGGUAUAGAAGUGUUGUAGGAGCAUUGCAAUACUUGACUUUGACUAGGCCAGAUAUUUCAUACUCACUAAACAAAGUUUGUCAAAUUUUUACAUGCUCCUACUAG
This 924-nucleotide ribosomal RNA is filed under the name Triticum aestivum (bread wheat). RNAcentral's name for it is "partial small subunit ribosomal RNA". Lineage: Eukaryota; Viridiplantae; Streptophyta; Magnoliopsida; Poales; Poaceae. The record is from RNAcentral.